RNAcentral lists this ribosomal RNA (775 nucleotides) under uncultured Neocallimastigales. Its description in RNAcentral is "partial large subunit ribosomal RNA". It matches the Rfam family "Eukaryotic large subunit ribosomal RNA", at positions 22 to 621 of the family's 3401-position model. Lineage: Eukaryota; Fungi; Neocallimastigomycota; Neocallimastigomycetes; Neocallimastigales. The record is from RNAcentral.
AUAUCAGUCAUGCAUAGCAUAUCAAUAAGCGGAGGAAAAGAAACUAACAAGGAUUCCCUUAGUAACGGCGAGUGAAGCGGGAAGAGCUCAAAUUUGAAAUCUUCGAGGUUUUACCUUGACGAAUUGUAGUUUAAAGAAGUGUUUUCUGUUGAAGUUUUGGUAAAAGUUCUUUGGAAUAGGACAUCAUAGAGGGUGAGAAUCCCGUAUUUGACCAUUACUUUCAGCUUUGUGAUACACUUUCAAAGAGUCGGAUUGUUUGGGAAUGCAGUCCAAAAUGGGUGGUAAAUUUCAUCUAAAGCUAAAUAUUGGCGAGAGACCGAUAGCGAACAAGUACCGUGAGGGAAAGGUGAAAAGAACUUUGAAAAGAGAGUUAAACAGUACGUGAAAUUGUCAAAAGGGAAGCGUUUGACACCAGUGUUGUUUUCUCGAAAAUCAAUUAAAAAGAGUUGGAUUUUGUGUUGUAUUGACUUUAUCAGGCUUUCUUCACUCUUUUCCAGCUUUUUUUAAUGCACUUUUCGUUUAACAAGUCAACAUCAGUUUCUUUUGUUGUAAAAAGGUCAUUGGAAGGUGGCUUUCUCUUCGGAGAAAGUGUUUAUAGCCUUUGACUCAUGCAAUCGGAGAGACUGAGGUCUGCAGCGUAGAUCCUUCGGGGUUAGAUACAUUUGUGCUAAGUUAUAGCUUUUCAUAGACAACUUGUUGACUAUGUUUAGUCUUGUAGCUUACUCGCUUAUGCUAUUUUACCUACGCUUAGGAUGUUGAACUCUAUCACACACAG